CCUACGGGAGGCGGCAGUGGGGAAUAUUGGACAAUGGGCGAAAGCCUGAUCCAGCCAUGCCGCGUGUGUGAAGAAGGCCUUCGGGUUGUAAAGCACUUUCAGUGGGGAAGAAAGCCUUGGGGCUAAUACCCUCGAGGAAGGACAUCACCCACAGAAGAAGCACCGGCUAACUCCGUGCCAGCAGCCGCGGUAAUACGGAGGGUGCGAGCGUUAAUCGGAAUUACUGGGCGUAAAGCGCGCGUAGGCGGUCUGAUAAGCCGGUUGUGAAAGCCCCGGGCUCAACCUGGGAACGGCAUCCGGAACUGUCAGGCUAGAGUGCAGGAGAGGAAGGUAGAAUUCCCGGUGUAGCGGUGAAAUGCGUAGAGAUCGGGAGGAAUACCAGUGGCGAAGGCGGCCUUCUGGACUGACACUGACGCUGAGGUGCGAAAGCGUGGGUAGCAAACAGGAUUAGAUACCCGUGUAGUC
RNAcentral lists this ribosomal RNA (465 nucleotides) under Vreelandella stevensii. RNAcentral describes it as "partial 16S ribosomal RNA". It matches the Rfam family "Bacterial small subunit ribosomal RNA", at positions 338 to 795 of the family's 1533-position model. The record is from RNAcentral. Lineage: Bacteria; Pseudomonadati; Pseudomonadota; Gammaproteobacteria; Oceanospirillales; Halomonadaceae.